This 1251-nucleotide ribosomal RNA is filed under the name wastewater metagenome. RNAcentral's name for it is "bacterial LSU rRNA". It matches the Rfam family "Bacterial large subunit ribosomal RNA", at positions 1100 to 2444 of the family's 2925-position model. The record is from RNAcentral.
GUUGGCUUGGAAGCAGCCAUUCAUUUAAAGAGUGCGUAACAGCUCACUGGUCGAGAGAUCCUGCACGGAAAAUAAUCGGGCAUCAAACUACGAACCGAAGUUCUAAAUUCUAGCUAUGCUAGAGUGGUAGGGGAGCAUUGAAAUCUGCACAGAAGGUGUGGCGCGAGCCAUGCUGGAGCGAUUUCAAAAGAAAAUGUAGGCAUAAGUAACGAUAAUUAAAGUGAAAAACUUUAACGCGAAAAGUCUAAGGUUUCCUGAUCAACGUUAAUCGGAUCAGGGUUAGUCUGGUCCUUAGGAAAACCCGAAAGGGGUAUCUGAUGGAAAGAAGGUUAAUAUUCCUUCACCUACUAUGCAUUAAAAGUGACGCAGGGACGUGGUGGUUGCGUACGGACGGAAGUGUACGCCUGAGUGGAGUCUUCGGACAAAGCGAAACCAUAAAAUCCCUGCCAAGAAAAGCGAGCAUAGCAGCCAGUACCGGAAUCCGACACAGGUAGACGGGAUGAGUAUUCUAAGGCGCUCGGGUGAGCCGUGGAGAAGGAACUAGGCAAAUUAACGCUGUAACUUCGGGAUAAAGCGUACCAUCUUCGGACGGUCUCAGUAAAAUGGUUCAACCAACUGUUUAGCAAAAACACAGGGCCCUGCAAAAUCGAAAGAUGACGUAUAGAGCCUGAUACCUGCCCGGUGCUGGAAGGUUAAGGAAGGGUGUUCGGCGCAAGCCAAAGCUUCUGACUGAAGCCCCAGUAAACGGCGGCCGUAACUAUAACGGUCCUAAGGUAGCGAAAUUCCUUGUCGGGUAAGUUCCGACCUGCACGAAUGGUCUAAUGAGUUGAACACUGUCUCCUCCACGAGCCCGGUGAAAUUGUAGUAUCGGUGAAGAUGCCGGUUACCCGCCACGGGACGGAAAGACCCCGUGAACCUUCACUACAACUUUGCAUUGAUUUUGAGCAACAAAUGUGUAGGAUAGUUGGGAGACUUUGAAGCAGUGUCGCCAGGCAUUGUGGAGUCAUCGUUGAAAUACCAACCUUUUGUUGCUUAGAACCUAACCCUGAACAAGGGGACAUUGCAUGGUGGGUAGUUUGACUGGGGUGGUCGCCUCCUAAAAAGUAACGGAGGCUCGCAAAGGUACCCUCAGUACGGUUGGUAAUCGUACGCAGAGCGCAUUAGUAGAAGGGUGCUUGACUGUGAGACAAACACGUCGAGCAGGAGCGAAAGCUGGCUAAAGUGAUCCGGUGGUUCUGUAUGGAAGGGCCA